UGUUAAAAAAUUCAUCUAUUUCUACAGUUAAGAAUUGACGUGAUCGACAAAAUAACCAUAAACUUACAUGCGACGUGCCAUGUGUACCUCAUUCUGACAUACAAAGAUCAAUUUUUAACAAUAGAAACAAGUUGUUCUUUAUUC
Molecule: non-coding RNA, 144 nt
Organism: Gossypium raimondii (Peruvian cotton)
Lineage: Eukaryota; Viridiplantae; Streptophyta; Magnoliopsida; Malvales; Malvaceae
Source: Rfam